GGGUUGUGAGGUUAAGCGACUAAGCGUACACGGUGGAUGCCCUGGCAGUCAGAGGCGAUGAAGGGCGUGCUAAUCUGCGAUAAGCGCCGGUAAGGUGAUAUGAACCGUUAUAACCGGCGAUACCCGAAUGGGGAAACCCAGUGUGACUCGUCACACUAUCAUUAACUGAAUCCAUAGGUUAAUGAGGCGAACCGGGGGAACUGAAACAUCUAAGUACCCCGAGGAAAAGAAAUCAACCGAGAUUCCCCCAGUAGCGGCGAGCGAACGGGGAGGAGCCCAGAGCCUGAAUCAGCAUGUGUGUUAGUGGAAGCGUCUGGAAAGGCGCGCGAUACAGGGUGACAGCCCCGUACACAAAAGCGUAUGUGCUGUGAGCUCGAUGAGUAGGGCGGGACACGUGGUAUCCUGUCUGAAUAUGGGGGGACCAUCCUCCAAGGCUAAAUACUCCUGACUGACCGAUAGUGAACCAGUACCGUGAGGGAAAGGCGAAAAGAACCCCGGCGAGGGGAGUGAAAAAGAACCUGAAACCGUGUACGUACAAGCAGUGGGAGCCCCACCACUAAGCCAGUGGUGAACUCCACAUACGCAUCCUUUGCUGAGGAUACGGUUAACGGAGCGAAAGCGACGUUCAACCGCAAAAGAAGCAGAGGGGGCUUAGUGGUGGGGUGACUGCGUACCUUUUGUAUAAUGGGUCAGCGACUUAUAUUCUGUAGCAAGGUUAACCGAAUAGGGGAGCCGGAGGGAAACCGAGUCUUAAUUGGGCGUUAAGUUGCAGGGUAUAGACCCGAAACCCGGUGAUCUAGCCAUGGGCAGGUUGAAGGUUGGGUAACACUAACUGGAGGACCGAACCGACUAAUGUUGAAAAAUUAGCGGAUGACCUGUGGCUGGGGGUGAAAGGCCAAUCAAACCGGGAGAUAGCUGGUUCUCCCCGAAAGCUAUUUAGGUAGCGCCUCGUGAAUUCAUCUCCGGGGGUAGAGCACUGUUUCGGCUAGGGGGCCAUCCCGGCUUACCAACCCGAUGCAAACUGCGAAUACCGGAGAAUGUUAUCACGGGAGACACACGGCGGGUGCUAACGUCCGUCGUGAAGAGGGAAACAACCCAGACCGCCAGCUAAGGUCCCAAAGUCAUGGUUAAGUGGGAAACGAUGUGGGAAGGCCCAGACAGCCAGGAUGUUGGCUUAGAAGCAGCCAUCAUUUAAAGAAAGCGUAAUAGCUCACUGGUCGAGUCGGCCUGCGCGGAAGAUGUAACGGGGCUAAACCAUGCACCGAAGCUGCGGCAGCGAACGUAUCACUUAAAGCGAUUCAGCGGGUUACGAUUGACGGAGCGAAGCGACGUCAAAGCGUAUACAAAGUCGAGUCGGUUUAAGGAUACGUUCGUUGGGUAGGGGAGCGUUCUGUAAGCCUGUGAAGGUGGCCUGUGAGGGUUGCUGGAGGUAUCAGAAGUGCGAAUGCUGACAUAAGUAACGAUAAAGCGGGUGAAAAGCCCGCUCGCCGGAAGACCAAGGGUUCCUGUCCAACGUUAAUCGGGGCAGGGUGAGUCGACCCCUAAGGCGAGGCCGAAAGGCGUAGUCGAUGGGAAACGGGUUAAUAUUCCCGUACUUGGUGUUACUGCGAAGGGGGGACGGAGAAGGCUAUGUUGGCCGGGCGACGGUUGUCCCGGUUUAAGCGUGUAGGUGUGUGUUCCAGGUAAAUCCGGUUCACUUUAACACUGAGGCGUGAUGACGAGGCACUACGGUGCUGAAGUAACAAAUGCCCUGCUUCCAGGAAAAGCCUCUAAGCAUCAGGUAACAUCAAAUCGUACCCCAAACCGACACAGGUGGUCAGGUAGAGAAUACCAAGGCGCUUGAGAGAACUCGGGUGAAGGAACUAGGCAAAAUGGUGCCGUAACUUCGGGAGAAGGCACGCUGACACGUAGGUGAAGUGAUUUACUCAUGGAGCUGAAGUCAGUCGAAGAUACCAGCUGGCUGCAACUGUUUAUUAAAAACACAGCACUGUGCAAACACGAAAGUGGACGUAUACGGUGUGACGCCUGCCCGGUGCCGGAAGGUUAAUUGAUGGGGUCAGCGCAAGCGAAGCUCCUGAUCGAAGCCCCGGUAAACGGCGGCCGUAACUAUAACGGUCCUAAGGUAGCGAAAUUCCUUGUCGGGUAAGUUCCGACCUGCACGAAUGGCGUAAUGAUGGCCAGGCUGUCUCCACCCGAGACUCAGUGAAAUUGAACUCGCUGUGAAGAUGCAGUGUACCCGCGGCAAGACGGAAAGACCCCGUGAACCUUUACUAUAGCUUGACACUGAACAUUGAGCCUUGAUGUGUAGGAUAGGUGGGAGGCUUUGAAGUGUGGACGCCAGUCUGCAUGGAGCCGACCUUGAAAUACCACCCUUUAAUGUUUGAUGUUCUAACGUGGACCCGUGAUCCGGGUUGCGGACAGUGUCUGGUGGGUAGUUUGACUGGGGCGGUCUCCUCCUAAAGAGUAACGGAGGAGCACGAAGGUUGGCUAAUCCUGGUCGGACAUCAGGAGGUUAGUGCAAUGGCAUAAGCCAGCUUGACUGCGAGCGUGACGGCGCGAGCAGGUGCGAAAGCAGGUCAUAGUGAUCCGGUGGUUCUGAAUGGAAGGGCCAUCGCUCAACGGAUAAAAGGUACUCCGGGGAUAACAGGCUGAUACCGCCCAAGAGUUCAUAUCGACGGCGGUGUUUGGCACCUCGAUGUCGGCUCAUCACAUCCUGGGGCUGAAGUAGGUCCCAAGGGUAUGGCUGUUCGCCAUUUAAAGUGGUACGCGAGCUGGGUUUAGAACGUCGUGAGACAGUUCGGUCCCUAUCUGCCGUGGGCGCUGGAGAACUGAGGGGGGCUGCUCCUAGUACGAGAGGACCGGAGUGGACGCAUCACUGGUGUUCGGGUUGUCAUGCCAAUGGCACUGCCCGGUAGCUAAAUGCGGAAGAGAUAAGUGCUGAAAGCAUCUAAGCACGAAACUUGCCCCGAGAUGAGUUCUCCCUGAGACUUUAGGUCUCCUGAAGGAACGUUGAAGACGACGACGUUGAUAGGCCGGGUGUGUAAGCGCAGCGAUGCGUUGAGCUAACCGGUACUAAUGAACCGUGAGGCUUAACCUUACAACGCCGAAG
RNAcentral lists this ribosomal RNA (3109 nucleotides) under Salmonella enterica subsp. enterica serovar Dublin str. ATCC 39184. RNAcentral's name for it is "bacterial LSU rRNA". It matches the Rfam family "Bacterial large subunit ribosomal RNA". Lineage: Bacteria; Pseudomonadati; Pseudomonadota; Gammaproteobacteria; Enterobacterales; Enterobacteriaceae. The record is from RNAcentral.